RNAcentral lists this long non-coding RNA (6133 nucleotides) under Sus scrofa (pig). RNAcentral describes it as "lncRNA (ENSSSCG00000060921.1)". Lineage: Eukaryota; Metazoa; Chordata; Mammalia; Artiodactyla; Suidae. The record is from RNAcentral.
UUUAUAUAUCUUAUAGCAGCAAUAAAUUUAUUCUAGUGCAGGACCUAUGAAUAUUUCAGAUGCUCUGUGAGAAAAGCUCUUUGGCUUAAGACAGUUGUGAACCCCUGAGUUUGGGCUCAAGACAGAGCCACUGAUCUCUGCACCACACUUUUAUUGCUCUUUAGCUUCACUUAACGCAAAACCUUUCAAGGUGCUUUCUGUUGCAACUUACUCUUUAAUAAACUCCAUUUAAAUGAAUUUUUCAUUAAAAAAUCACUAUUUCAUACAUGUUUAUUUCAUACAUGUUUAUUUCUGAUUAGUUGCUAUAUUAAACCUUUAAAGAAACACAAGAUUCCUUUUUGUUUUUUCUUUCAAACAUCUUAUGGAAAAUUAGUUUGGUGAUUUGAAUUUAGUUUUUUUGGUUGUUGUUUUCUUUCUUUGCUACUAAUGAAAAAGGUGACUUUACAAUUUAGGACUUAGGAAAUUGUAAUACAGUCAAGUAGAGUCAUUUAUCUAUUUUUCAGAUUAGAUGGUAUUAAUAUUUCAUUCAUUUUCCAGAUUAGAUAAUGUUAAUUCUCAGGUAUCCUCAAAAAUUCUUAUAUAAUAUCUUCGUAUUAGCAAAGAAUUAUUCACAGAUUUAGGUUUGAGGAAAAUAUUUUUUAAUAUACUAGUAAGGAGGAAGGAAUAGAAAUAGAAAUUUUUUACCUAUUUAUCCAAUUAAAAAUUAUGCACUAUCAUGCCUGAGACAUGAGUCAAGGUUGGUUGGGGAUUAAGACAAAAAUUGUUUUCUUUUUCAUUUUUUUACGUGCACACACCCCAUUUCCUCAGCAAAUUACUAACAAAUACCUAUCCCUCUAGUCAAGAUCUGCUGAGUGAUAUUUAUAUGUUGCUCAUUUAGAAAUAUUCUUAAUGAAUUUGGCUUUAGUUCAAACUUGACUCCUUUGAAAGUUAUUUCUGUUUUGCUUUGUUUUCUCUCUUAUAUACAACCUCCUCCUCUUUUGUCCACAUUUAUGAAUAGGCUCUUACAUAGAACUUUGUUGUCUUGAACCUGCUGUCAAGUUCCUCGAUUUCCCAACAGCUUUGUAAUCAAAUUUAUUUUUCAUUUUCAUGGCUUUUGUUCACUGAAGUGUCAUCAUCAGACGUGGUACCUAAUAUCUGCUCUGAACUUUUACAUCUGCCUGAUCUGUUCUCUAUUUCUGACCGUAUAUUUUUUAUUCACCUCUCAGCACUGAGAUUUUUGAUACUAAGAUUAGUCUCUCUCCACAUAACUCUUUCCUUUCUUAUUAUAUGUAUCUCCAGCUCACAUGUUAUCUCUGCCCCGACAAGGCUGACUAGGUUUGACCUUGAGAUAUUAUUUCUGUAUAAGCUCUCUGAGAUUCCUUCUCUUUUCCUUUCUUCAUAAUUUUAACUCUCAGGCAGAAUUAUAUGUGAAUAAAGAAAAUACCUAAUUGUUUUCAAUCAUACCCUCUCUCCCAAUGUAUGAAAGAUUAUGAUUUCUUAAGUUGUUGGAUCGCCCUCCCAGUCAUGUUAUCUAACAUGAGAUGUUAAAAAUGAGCACAUUUUUUAAAAAAUUAAUUUUUUUUUCUUUUUGUGGCCACACGUGCAUAUGGAAGUUCCCAGGCUGGGGGUCAAAUCAGAGCUGCUGCUGCAUGCCUAUGCCACAGACCUGAGACCUAUGCCACAGCUUGCAGCAACGCCAGAUCCUUAACCCACUGAGAGAGGCCAGGGAUCCAACCUGCAUCUUCACAGAGACAGCAUCAUGUCCUUAAUCUGCUGAGCCACAACAGAAACUCCUUAAUUAUUUUUUUAUGGCCGCACUCACGACAUAUGGAAGUGCCCAGGCCAGGAAUUGAAUCUGAGCCUCCAAAGUUACCUGAGCCACUACAUUUGGAUUCUUAACCCACUGCACCAACAACACAAAGUCCUAAAAAUGGAUUUAUAAUACAGAUCACAAUUGAUAACACAGUCAGUACAAAACAUAAAUAUAUUUAAUAACUUAGUACAACACAAACUCACAUGUAUGACCACUAUGCUACACUUAAAACAACAUUACUAGCACUCCAGAACCUCCCUUUAUGUUCUUCUUCUGAUCAUUACACCUGUCUUCUGCAAAGUUAAUCUGCCUCUAAAAGCAAUUUAAUUUUUGCCUAUGCUUGGACUUCACAUAAACGGAAUAAUAGAGUAUGUGAGUAUGUAUUCUUAUCCAUCUAGGUUCUUCAGUCAGUUUUUUUGUGACAAUUAUCCAUGUUUGUGCAGCUGUACUUUAUUCAGUUUCAUUACUUUAUAAUAUUCCACUGCAUUAAACAUUGAUUGAUGGUAAUGUUGACAAAUAUUUAUAUUGUUUCCAGCUUCUGGUGACUAGAAAUAAUGCUACAUUUUUGUAUAUGACUCUUCCUACAGAUCACAAACUUCUGUUAGGUACAUCCUUAACAGGAAUAUGAACAAUGGAACCACUAAAUCUUAAGGAAGAUAUAUGCUCAACUUGAAAGUCAAAUGUUUGGGCGUUCUUCUGAGGACUCUAGUUGGUUUGUAGAGGAAUUCACCAAGUUAACAAUGUCCUAUGAACUUACUUGGGGAGACUUAUAGGUCCACUUUUUUACUUCCUGCACCUUUGAAGAAAAGAGCAGGGUCAUUGUUGCAACCCAGCAUGUGCUGAUGAACUGGCAGCCUAUAAUUAAUGACAUAUAAUCUACCUUAUAGGAGGGGAUGCAAUCCUCAACCAAGACCCCCAAUGGAACUCCCAAUAGGGAGGCAGUGGACUUGAACACAAGAACCAUAGGAUAACUUGCCCACAGAAAAGACAAAAAGCCUGUUAAUUAUGACAAAGUCAAAUAAGCAACACAGGGAAAAGAUGAGAAGCUGGCCUUCUUCCAGGGCCACCUAGUAUACCUGCCUUCAGAAAGUAUACCAAUACUAAUUCUGAUACCUCAGAAGGGCAAGUCCCUGUAAAUAUCCAUUUUAUCACUCAAUCUGCCCCAGACAUUAGGAGAAAUUUACAGAAUGCAGUUACGGGACCCCAAGUUUCCAUGGACCAGCUCAUAGUAUUUAAUAACAGAGAUAAGGUUGAGGAAACAAAAAGGGUGAGGGACGACAACAACAAAAGGCACAAUUACUGGUGGCACCACUAACCCCUGCACCACCCCAGGGUUCAUUCCUACUUAAAAAAGCACAUCGGGGAGAGCCAAGAUCUAGAAAAUUUGGAUCAGAGCCCAAUGCCCCACCAAGCAGGGUCAUCUUUUAAGUGCAGCCAGGUGGGCCAUUGGAAGGACAAAUGCCCCCUUGCAUGAAAAAAAAAUCCACAGAGGGACCCUGGCCAAUAUACAAACAAGAGGGCCACUGGAAGCUGAUGAUGGUAGAAAAGACUGCACACUGACAGGGCCUGGGACCCUCCCUGGCUUCCAAAGGACACCUGGUAAUUUCCCCAGAGGAACCUUCAAUCACCCUUGAUGUGGCAGGUAGGAAAGUUAUUUUUUUUUUAUUAGAUACAAAGGGCUGCCUACUCUAACUAGUUUCCCUGGACCUUUUCCUCCCACUCCUGCAUUGUAAAGGGGAUUGAUGGAUGGCCCAAAUCAAAUAAUUCACCCCACUCCCCACUGCUACCAGCUGCUUACUAGGAAGUUUACCUUUGCCGACCAGUUCCUGCUCACAUCUGAGUGCCUCGUCCCCUUGUUGGGAAGGGAUUUUCUCACUAAAUUCCAGACAGUAGUUCAGUUUUGAGGUCCCCUCAGAGAGGGUACCCACUAGGAGAAAUAACUUCUCUUGGACAUGGGAGUCUGCUUCAGUCACAAGUCAGAGGAGGUGUCUCUUCCACCCCAUGUUGUUUCUUUAGUAAAACCCUCUGGGACACAGAGGUUCUUGGCAGAGUUACUAGCUAAUGUGCCCCUUCAGAUUUCAUUAAAGCCCAGUGCUGAUUACCCAUGGAAAAAACAACAUCCCUUGAGGCCCAACGAGAACUAAGUUCUUAAUAUUGGACUGUUACGACCCUGCCAUUCUCCAUGUAAUACUCCCAUUCUGCUCAUAAACAAGCAAAGUGGAGAACACAGCUUUGUUCAAGAUCUGAGGGCAAUUAAUGAGGAAGUAGUUCCAUUAGUCCCUAAGCCAUACAUCAUACUGACCCAAGUCCCAGAAAAUGCAAACUGAUUCACAGAGCUAGACCUAAAGGAUGCCUUCUUUUGCAUUCCCCUGGACCCAGACUCCCAGUAUCUCCUUGCCUUUGAGUGGAUAGAUCCAGACAGUCCUAACUUGGACUGCUGCCCCAAGGCUUCAGGGGUAGCCCCCGCCUGUUUGGAAACACAUUAGCAGAGGAAUUAAGAGAGUGACCAUUGGUAAAUGGGUCCCUGCUAUAGUAUGUGGAUGUUCUCCUAAUUUCCAGUCUCACUAGGAAAGACUCAGCUAAAAACACCACUCAGGUCCUCAACUUCCUAGGGGAACAAGGAUAUUGAAUCUCCUCUCAUGAGGCCCAGAUUUCCACCCAACAGACUAAGUACCUGGGAUGUAUGCUCACCUCUGGAAUGAGGACUCCAGCUCAGGAUGGAAAGGAAGCCAUUAUAACACUUCAACUCCCCCACACCCCUGGACUAAGAGGCAACUGAGGGAUUUUUCGGGGGACACCAGGAUUUUGCAGAAUCUGGAUACCUGGAUUUGGGCUCAUAGCAAAAACUGUUUCUGUUUUAUAGAUAGGUUCAUUUGUGCCAUAUUUUAUUUUUUAAAUUCUUUUUAAUUUUUUCUUCAAUUUUUAUUUUUUUGUCUUUUUAGGGCCGUACCCAUGGCAUAUGACCCAGGCUAGGGGUCAAAUUGGAGCUGUAGCCACUGGCCUACACCACAGCCACAGCAAUGCAGGAUCUGAGCUGCAUCUUUGUGGCAUUAGAGUUGUUGGAUUCACACCGUAAAAAUUUAUACCUGGGGUGUCAAUUAGGAACACUUGGUAUUUAAGCAAUUUUCCACCCAUCAACCAUUAUUGUCCCUUUGCUUUUUGGAUUUCUUGUGCCUGAUGAGGAGUUGGGGCUUCCAGUGAUUUUUCCAGGGUGAAUUUAUUGACCUCCUCUACUAGUAGAGCAGUGGCAUCAUCCAUUGUCCUAAGACAUCUUAGCCAUCCAGUGACCACCUGAUCAAAUUGUUUUAAGAAAUAAGCUACUGAUCUAGAGAAUUUCUUGAACUUUUGUUUGUUUGUUUUUAGAGCCAGGAAUGCCUGUUUACAAUCUUCAUGCCAGUUGAGUAGUUUGUGGUCACCUCCUUUUAGGGCCUCAUAGAGAAGCUUUGCUAUGGCACAAAUGAUCCCCUCUACCAAACAGUCUUGUGUCAAGCCGUAAUAAAUUUAGGUGAGCACAUAUAACAAAAUAGAAAAUGUAAAUAACAUUAAAGAUAUACGCCUGCUAGCCUCAAAAUACAAAGUCGUCUUAUAAAUAAACAGAAAAAAUACUCAGACCAUAAAUGGGCAAUGAAUUAUGACUUUUCAAAGAAAAGAUCAAUAAUGAUGAGAAAAAAAUGUACUGUUUCACUUAUGAAAACUGUGAAUUAAAGUAACAAAGUUUUCUUUUUCACUAUCAACUUGGUGAAACUAUUUAAAAAAUAAUGAUAACUAACAUUAAUGAAUGUUUGGAGAACCAAAAAUUGCACAUACUCCUAUUAGGAGUAUAAUAUGAUACAACAUAUCCGGACAGCAAUACAGGGAUAUCUGCCAAGAGCCUUGCUUUCACCCAGUAAGUCUAUAUCUAUAAAUCUUCAAAGUUGUUUACCAUAGUUAAAAUAUCAAAAGAAAGGUCUAAAAUGUCAAGAACAACUGUAUCUUUAUACGGAAAUUUUUUUAUGGCCACACAGGUGGCAUAUGGACGUUCCCAGGCCAGGGACUAAAUCUGAGCUGCAGCUGCAGCAACCCUAGAUUCCUUAACCCACAGCACCAGACCAGGAUAAAAACACCUCUGCAGUGACCCAAGCUGCUGGAAUUCCUAUACAGGAUUUUUAUAUGCUGCUUAUUAGCCCUCAAAUGGAUAUUGCUUUUUUCAACUAGGGGAAAAUUGAUUAUAAUUAAAUGUCUUGCGAGUUUUAUUAUUAUGAGAAGCCACAGAAUAGAGAAAAAUAGAGGUAAUGUAUAUUUUUGAGCAUUUUGAAAUAAAGGUGUUAUGUUAAUAAUGUGCUCAAAUAACUGUUGUGAGAG